UGUCCUUCCAGGGCAUGGGCCGGGUGCCAGGCCCCUUUCUCCUCAGCCUCACCAGCAUCUGGUCCUCGACCUCUCUGAUUUCUUGCAGCCUGAGAGGGAAAAAUGAAACAAAGCCAAAGGAGCCUGGGGAAGCCUUCCGAACCCCCGGUUGAUGUCAAGUCCCCAUGUGGCACCCUCGGAGAAACCCUGGGCCACUGUCGCGUCCGCACCACCGUCAACUGAUUCACGCGCACCCCCCACUGGACAGUAGCCUCCAGCGUCUCCCCAGAGUGCCUGCAACAUACCUGAGGGAGGAACAGAGGAAGGAAUCCGCGGAAGAAUGGCAGAGUGCUGGGGACAGCGAGAAGGGGCCAUAUAGGAGACAGGGUUUGGGAAGCAAGGGCCUGGAGCCAAGAACCUCUCUGUGGCCCCUCCCCUCCCUGGCGCCCCCUCUGCCCCGCCUGCUUUGCUUUCCUCCACAGCGUUCGCCUCCCCCUGUGCCUGGUGUUUGCUUGCUUGGGGUUUCUGCACCGGAGGGGAGCUCUGGGUGGGGCAGGCGCUGUCUGGGGUCCCCUCCGAAUCCCAACCCGAUCCUGACACAGAGCAGCCAGCGUCUGCGAACAGGAGCAAGCGGGCGCACUGAUGGGCUCGGGCUCCAGGUCUGCAUGGCAGAGGCCGAGGCAGAGGCUUGCUUCUCUCCAGGCGCCCGUGUGGGAAAGGCCGGAGGGAGGAUGUGUGGCGACAGAGCAUUGCUUCCGCAGGCAUCUCCGGUGGGCCUACCGCCCGAGAGGCGCUCCGCAGGGACGGGUCAGGAUUCCCCACAUGCGGCACAAGAUUUCCAACGGGAGAGGAGCGUGGACGGGACGAUUGAUUCUCCGAGCCCUCCUGCCCCUGACUCCUAGCCCUUCCACUCCCACCCGCAGAGCACCUGCCAGCAGGGUUUGUUGGGAGUUCGACGCGAUCUCCGUGUCAAAGUGCACACCGUAUGUCCUCAGAAACGUUAACUCCCUUGUCUUCCCACCUGAGCUGUGUCUUCUCCGUCUGUGCCCUGGCAGUCAUCCCGAUCCUGCGGUCCUGGAUCAGGCCUUCAUUGUUUUGGUUGCAAAUGACAGAAAAUUCGAUUCCAACUAGUUUAAGCAAAAAAAGAGGGGGGUGGUGUUUGUGGCUUAGAUUUUGCGGGGGCGAGCCUCAUCAGAGCUCAGACAACGUGGCCUGGCACUGACCUCUAUCUCUUGGCUCUGUGUCCUCUGGUUUAGUCCAUAUUCACAAUGGGUUUCCCUCAUGGCGGCAAGAUGGCUGCAGCAGCCCCACCCUUGCGGCUGCCUCUUUUCUACCCCUUCCAUGGAAGUCCUGGGGAGUCAUUGUGUUUGCCCUGUCUUAGGUCCUGCCCAUCCCCGGCUGUUCACCGAGGCCAGGGAGAUGCGA
Molecule: long non-coding RNA, 1404 nt
Organism: Prionailurus viverrinus (fishing cat)
Lineage: Eukaryota; Metazoa; Chordata; Mammalia; Carnivora; Felidae
Exons: 4
Source: RefSeq, a predicted model, not a curated record